This 221-nucleotide ribosomal RNA is filed under the name uncultured Chlorophyceae. Its description in RNAcentral is "partial Bacterial large subunit ribosomal RNA". It matches the Rfam family "Bacterial large subunit ribosomal RNA", at positions 2258 to 2478 of the family's 2925-position model. The record is from RNAcentral. Lineage: Eukaryota; Viridiplantae; Chlorophyta; Chlorophyceae.
GUGGUGGGUAGUUUGACUGGGGCGGUCUCCUCCUAAAGAGUAGCGGAGGAGCGCAAAGGUACCCUCAAUGCGGUUGGUAAUCGCAUGCAGAGCGCAAAGGUAUAAGGGUGCUUGACUGCGAGACAUAUAGGUCGAGCAGAUACGAAAGUAGGUCUUAGUGAUCCGGUGGUCCCGUGUGGAAGGGCCAUCGCUCAUCAGAUAAAAGGUACUCCGGGGAUAAC